CCAUUCCUUUCCACUAGCCAUACCCAAUAGUUAUUACAAAUUAUUGCAGACCCAAAUGAAUCAGAAAAGAAAAGUAAAAUUACAUCAGAAGUUCCACCGACAUCCAAAGAGCCUAAUUCAGACUUAAAGUCCAACAAUAUGAGAUAAGCCAAUUUCGAGGAUCAGAUUUCCAAAAGUCUUUCUCACAUUUGGGAUAUGUCAAAGUUCCCAAGAGUCUCAAAGGGCUCCGGGUAGUGCUUACACCCCAAACACAUUGCAAAAUUAAGAUUAUAGUGCAGCGGAAAUGCCAACCUCAGAUGUCCAAGUUCAGAGGGAGCUCAAGGUCCCAAAACAAGGCUCAUAAGAGGCGGCAGAACUUAAGAGUCUAAGAAUAAGUGUAAGUGCAUGGAGGGGGGAAUCAGGGAGAGGCCAUGGCAAGAUAGUAGUCAUGCCCAGCAAUUAAGAUGCUGGCACACCCUUGACCAGCCUGGUAGCCAAACUUAGGAGUUAGGAUCCAUUAUGGAUCAGGUUAUUGUCUGGACAGUAAAUAGGAUACUGCCAGGCCAAGAACCUUAACUCAAACACAUAUAAGGGAAUAGGGAUAACAACAACAACAACAACAACUACCCAGUAUACUCCCACCAGGUGGGGUCUGGGGAGGG
RNAcentral lists this long non-coding RNA (641 nucleotides) under Nicotiana benthamiana. RNAcentral's name for it is "long non-coding RNA (NBEN_LNC012424)". The record is from RNAcentral. Lineage: Eukaryota; Viridiplantae; Streptophyta; Magnoliopsida; Solanales; Solanaceae.